This is a long non-coding RNA of Oncorhynchus keta (chum salmon), 4056 nucleotides long. RefSeq lists it as uncharacterized. The transcript is spliced from 2 exons. NCBI's taxonomy places the organism in Eukaryota, Metazoa, Chordata, Actinopteri, Salmoniformes, Salmonidae. The record is from RefSeq and is a predicted model, not a curated record.
AGAGGAAAAUAUAGUUUAGAUGAUCAAAUGUAUACUUUAAUGAUUAGAACCAUUCAUGCUAAUACUAUAUUUGUUAUGAUCUGAAAAGUAUGGGUUCUUAAUUGUACUGUUACUGAAAAUGUAAGCAGAAAUGAAUUGUGUCUGUGUCUCCUGGGAAAGUUUUGAAGCAGGGAUAAGAUAGUACUUCAAACAGAUAAGAAUGUUUUGGUUGGAUUCCAUUAGCAGAGAGAAGUAUAUCCUUUAGGCAGGUUGGAAUGUAGUUUAUGAGGGGAGUGAAACUAUCUCCAGGACUGAAUACUGCGCCAUUGUACGGCUGGGAGAGGGGGUGUAACUGAUGACGUCAUUUUAUGUCUUCUUCAGAUUUAAAAUGUAAUGUUCUUUGUAUUUUGGGUCAGUACUCAUCAAGAAUAAAUGCUGAACUUGUUUUUUAAGACUGGUCUCUUGCUAAUUCAUGCAAAUGAUAAACUUACAACUUAUCAUGAAUUAGAAAUGAGUGCGUAUUUGAUUGGCUUUGGUAAUAAAACAUAAGGGAAUUUAAAAAUUCCUCUAUCAAUUUGGUCCUUCGAGACGGAUCUAAACAUCUCUCUCUGUGCCUGGGGGUAGUAAGCUGGAAAAUCGUGCACGGACGAGUUCGACUCGUUUUACUAAAGACCUGACCUCUGAAUUGAGGUUAAAAAUUGAAACAGGCCUGCGUAUUACCACAGAGGACAGAGAGAGUGACUAGAUACAACGAACAUUGCUUUCCCAGUCGGCGAUAAGGUCAGUAUGUUUUAUUCUUGAUUAAGGGAGAAUGAUUUAAAUUAUCAUAGAGUGAUUUAAGUUGUUCUCAGUUUAAAAGUCAACUCUACAAAUAGGCUAUGCUUGGAGCGACAUUGUAGUUCAAAGUCCUAUAGAGAACAGGGAUUACUGUAUAGUUUUACAGUGAUCACUGUAUACGGGUGAAAACUAAAUGUCAGAGUGAGCGAUGAAUGGACGGGGGGGGUCUUUCCCGGUUUUUAGUAGUCAGUGUUCUUGAUAGUGAAAAGUGAUCGUGUGGUUGAGGUUCCGUGGGAAGAAACGGAACAGGUGAUUUUAUGCCAUCAGCUUUCAAGAAUAGACACUGCAGGAUUGGUUUUGGGACUGGCCUCGAUCCAUUUGUCUUCGGUCAACUUUACAAUUUUAUGCCCAGCAGGAGAACUACAGAGGGAGGUGGCACACGAGAUUCAACCAGGAGACUGGAUCUGGAUCCGAUCACUGAAGAUAAAAAAAAAUGGAAGCAGCCUCGGUGGGAGGGACCAUUCCAAGUACUACUGGUGACUGCCUUCGCUGUGAGAAUAGCCGAAAGAGCUACCUGGGUACAUGUCACACAUUGUAAGAGGGUGGGUCAUACUGGCACUGUCGAGCGGUCACAGGAGGAGGAGAGGAACCGUGACCCAUAUGGAACGGGGGUCAAACUCCUUCUGAAGAUUCCCUAUACCUGACCUUUCCCCAGCUGUGAGCGUUCAUAGAAGUGAAGUGAUGGCUUGGCCUCUGGCUGUUGAUAUGUUCUCGGGGAGAGGGUGGGGCUUCACGUGUGCACUGACCGUCCUGAGCUGUUUUAUUGUGGGGGCCAUAUUCCUGAUUCACCAUGAUCCCCGGAAAGUGCCAAAGAGGAUAAUUUGACUCAUGUGCUAGAUGAGGGAAAUGGGAUGUUACCUAAGAUUCUCAGAAGGUCACUGAAACAAAAUAGUAAGGAAGUGAGGGUGGAAUUGGGCAAGGAUCUCUCAGUAAAAUUUUGUGUAGAUCAAUUGGGGUCUUUCACCCCUUGGCAGUCUAGAACCAUGGGACUCUAUGGGAAAUAUUUGUGUAAAUCAUCCUGUAGGUCGUGGAGCCAGGUCAUAGCUCACACUGAAAGAGAUGGCUAUGUAAACCCAUACACUCAAUUUGGUUGGAAUGGAUUCAAUAUACGGCCAGAUCAGUGGCUAAAGAUGAAUGUUAUGCAAAACCACAGUUAACAACUAUCCCUUUCCCACUGAACGGAAUUAAUUCCCCUAAGGGAAUGGCAUGUAUGGUAAAGCUGUUCAUGAAAGCAGGAAUGCCAAGUAAUGAUAGCUGUAUUGAUUUACACUAUUUAUAUCUCCAGGUUCCAUUUAAAUCAAGACUUCCUCCCUUUACCGUGACAAGAGGAGAAUAUUACUGUUUGGCCAGAUACAGUACACACGGGAAAUACGUGGGGGAAGUUGGUACCUGCAAUAAGACAGAGAAUAUUACCACUGACGAGAACAUGUCUGAUUUGACAGGCUGGUUGAACUCUGGAGAUUUCAAAAUGUUGAAGGUGGCCAGGGCUGACAUAGUGGUCCUUCUGUAGCUCAGUUGGUAGAGCAUGGCGCUUGUAACGCCAGGGUAGUGGGUUCGAUUCCCGGGACCACCCAUACGUAGAAUGUAUGCACACAUGACUGUAAGUCGCUUUGGAUAAAAGCGUCUGCUAAAUGGCAUAUAUAUCUGGUGGUUGUGCGGGGGAAUGAAUUUGUGGCCGGUAUUACCGACUGAUUGGACUGGACUAUGUGCUCUAGUACAUAUAGGAAUGCCUUUUACACUCAUACAACACCAAGACAUGAAGUUAGUCAAACGAGAGAGAAGGGAUGCUCCAUCGGGGUCUUUUGACGACAGAGUAUAUAUUGAUAACAUUGGGGUUCCACGAGGGUGCCGGAUGAGUUCAAGGCAAGAAAUCAGAUACUAGCAGGAUUAGAGUCAAGUAUUUUUUGGUGGUCUACUCUCAAUAAGAAUGUAGACUGGAUUAAUUAUAUUUAUUAUAAUCAACAGCGCUUUAUCAAUUAUUCCAGAGAUGCGAUUAAAGGGUUGGCAGAACAGACUGAAGCAACCAGUCUGAUGGCUUGGCAGAAUAGAAUUGCAUUGGAUAUGUUAUUGGCUGAAAAGGGAGGAGUAUGUGUGAUCUUCGGGAACAUGUGUUGUACUUUCAUCCCGAAUGACACAGCUCCGGACGGAUCUGUGACCAAAGCCUUAGCUGGUUUGACCACCCUGGCUCACGAGUUGGCAGAAAACUCUGGGGUGGAUCCUUCCCUGACUAAUUGGUUUGAUAGUACAUUUGGAAAAUGGAAAAGUGUUGUAAUCACGGUGUUUUGGGCUGUAUCUACCUGUAUGACUGUUUUAAUUUUAUGCGGCUGUUGUCUAAUUCCCUGUGUGCGAGGCCUUGUUUCCAGGACUCUGGAAAGAUCAAUGACCCAACAGAUGGUGCGUUAUGGGCCGUUUCCAGAUUCUGACCUGUGGAGGACUGAAGGCAUGUCUACAGAGGAAGUGGACGAAUCCGGAUCUGUCAUUUGUGGGGAAUUUAUGUUUGAUGAGGCUAGUGUUGAGAUAAAGGGGAAUUAGAUUGUAAUUGGUUUCCAUGAUUAAACUGUUUUUUUAAUGAAGGUCGUGACGAAAAUCCGGAAGGAAGAGUUAUGAUUCUGAUGUAGAUUUAAAAACAGUUGGAGUUAAGGUUAGAAUUGAUUAAUGAAAUGUGGAGAGUUGGAUAAACAUUUAUAAUUGAUUUGUUGAUUAUUUGUCUAUUCAUAUGAUAAUCUGAUAAACCUCUAUAAAAAGGUUAGAUAAGUUCGUUUAUACUUUCAUUUUUUAUGAUUAAAUAAAACUAGAUGUAGAAUUGAAUGUAUAAUAUUUGAUCAAAGGGAGGAUUGAUAGAGGAAAAUAUGUUUGAAAUGACUAAUUAUGUAUACAUUCCAAUCAGAAACUGACUAGUGCGAAUGCUAUAAUGUACUGUCCCUCUUGCUCCCUUUCACAAUUGUAUAUAAUGUAGUCAAGAAGUUUAGUAACAAUGAAGGUCUGUUCUUUAAGUUCAUUCAGUUGUACAAAUCUCCAGGUGGUGGGAACGGGCCAUCUCCAAAAUGGUCGGGAAUGUUGAUUUAUGCUGACUGGCCUUGACUUCGUGCUGAUAACGCGGAGGCUUGAGAAUUAGAGGGGCCCUCUGUUUGUGAAAUGGAAAGUUUGGAAAACGCUGACGUCAUUUUCAGUUUAUAACCUGUGGUAAUGUGUGUGAGCAUUUAGUACUCAUCAAGAAUAAAUGCUGAACUUGUUUUUUAA